RNAcentral lists this long non-coding RNA (1106 nucleotides) under Pogona vitticeps (central bearded dragon). RNAcentral describes it as "lncRNA (ENSPVIG00000008876.1)". The record is from RNAcentral. Lineage: Eukaryota; Metazoa; Chordata; Lepidosauria; Squamata; Agamidae.
GCUUCUCUGUUCCAACAAUGACAUGUGAAAUGCUGCCACCACCCAGAACUGGAAACAAGGGGAACAAGGCCAGACAGGCCAUGGGACCCACCCUUUGGAGGGUUCACAGCCAGGGAAUCUGCUACAAAUUCCAAAAUAUGCUGAGUACAGUCAACUGCCUCGCACAGCUGUUUACACAUAGACCUCCACGAUUUUAUUUGGAUAAGAGGUAUUUCACUGAAAAACUGCCUUUUUCUGCAAAGCUGUUGAUAUAGCUCACUCCUUCACUGGCAGCAGGAAGUCAUGGGCAAUGAUGCAUUUUAAAGUUCACAAUUUUGGGUCUUUCAAUGAACCAUAAAAUAUUCACGGCAUAUAAAAGAGCCCAGUCAGAUAAAAUCAAACAAGCACAGAGGACACAUAAGCAAUACUUCAGAAUGGAAGAACUUUACGACACCUGGCAGUGUAUGUGCCUGUACCUGUUUCCUCUGGAUUGGGGGUGUGGGGCUGGUAGGGCAAUACCGGUAUCACUGGUUUUGCCUGGGAAGAGUAGAACUAAGCCGUAAAGUGGUGCUCCUGCUAUGUUAGCCCAAAGCAUGUUAUUACCUGCAAGUGUGUCACAGGCAGGUGGAUAGAUAGAAGCAACGUCAGUGUUCACAUGCAAAAUACUUCCACUGUGUUCCUGUUCCCAGCUUUUGGAAACACUCACACUUCGUGUGUAGCUGGCUGGGAGAUUCUGAGGUUUGUUGUUCAAAAAAUUCAAAUCUCCAAGCAUUGAUCCCACAACCACCAUUGGAACUGGAUUCAGCUAUAGGUCAGUCCCUGUACAUGAAAUGGAAGAAAAGAGUGUCCUCCUGCUCUUUCCUGUAGCCAGUAAAAGUCCUCUGCCAGAACUGCAGACAACACUUAGGAACAUAGACAUACGAUAGGCAUCCAGCAUCCAGUCACCUGUCCAAACAACACACACACACACACACACACACACACACACACAGAGAGAGAGAGAGAGUCGCUCUUUUCUCCUCACAUCAGAGAGAGAGAGAGAGAGAGAGAGAUCUACGGAAGUGCAUCUCAAAGCCUCUUGUUCUUGGAGAGAAAAUGAUAAAUAAACUGUCUCUCUUUUCUCCUCA